This 267-nucleotide ribosomal RNA is filed under the name Triticum aestivum (bread wheat). Its description in RNAcentral is "partial small subunit ribosomal RNA". Lineage: Eukaryota; Viridiplantae; Streptophyta; Magnoliopsida; Poales; Poaceae. The record is from RNAcentral.
AUGCAUAUCCCCACGGCUCUCUGGCACCGGUUUGGCACAGUGAAAGCUUGGUGGGAUGAGCUCCUCAUUUCCAGUGCUCAUCCAGUUAAAGCCUUGUCUUCCGCAUUACUUCUUGUGGGAUGGAAAAUCUGGAAGGAAACAAAUGCGCGCGUUUUCAGAAACAAGGCGGCACCGGUGGAGGUCGUCUUGCGAAACAUCAAAGAGGAAAUGUCACUUUGGGCCAUUGCGGGUGCCAAGCACUUGAGUAAUGUAAUGCCGCGAGAGUAA